GCUACUUGGAACAUACUUAUUGAAUUGAAUUAAAUCAAGGAUGAUUUUUAUAAUUCUAUUCUUAAUAUAAUCAUAAACUAGAUCAUAAACUACUCUUUUACUGGCAUUAUUUUUAGGCCAUUUUUACUUAAAUUUCUUAUUCUUUUUCUCUGUUUUAGGUAAAGUGAGUAGAACUGAAUGCAAGCUUCAAGGUUAAUUUCAAGCAGUCAGAGUGUGGGGGUCUGAGAGAUGCUAAUAUCCAUGACAUGUUGGAAUUAUUAUGAUCAACUAUCCUCUUUGGAUCUCACCCAGUGGUCGAGAACUUUGUAUGGUAGCUGGCAAAAACUGGACUUUUAAAAACAGGAAAACAGAUGGCUGAGAUUGCCAGAAGUCUGACCUCCAGAUAAAUGAGGUGUUGUCACACAUUGAGUGCAUAAAUAAAGGGAAGAAGCUUGGAGGGAAAAGUCACAGAGCCAUCAAAAGUUUACCCAAUUUAUUCAUCCCUCCACACUCAGAAUAGAAAAGGUAAUGUAAUAAUAAUGUAGCUUUUGCUUUUGUCUGCAAUUCUACAAAUUUAUAUUUUUCAGUUUCAUGUCAUUGAAAAACUGACUCAACUAAUAUUCUGUUAAUGAGUACAUAAUUUGCUACAUUAUUUGCUACAUAUAAAAUGCUACAUUUUAGCAAUUCAACUUAUGUGUUUCUUACAAAUAUCUUUCCAAAUGUAUUCUUGUGAAGCAAAAAUGAAGAGAUUUCUUAAAUUAGCAAAUUAAAUUAGAACUUUAGUUAUAGAAUGUCAUUCAUUUCCCUCUAAAUGCACAGAUUAUUAUAAUUAUUGAACUGUUAAAAGUUCUUAUGAAAUUCAUUAUUAUGCCUUCCCUCCAGAUUUUAAGAAUCACAAACUAACAAUUCCCAGACAUACAUGUUCUUUUUUUCUUAUUCAAUG
This is a long non-coding RNA of Sarcophilus harrisii (Tasmanian devil), 922 nucleotides long. RefSeq lists it as uncharacterized. The record is from RefSeq and is a predicted model, not a curated record. NCBI's taxonomy places the organism in Eukaryota, Metazoa, Chordata, Mammalia, Dasyuromorphia, Dasyuridae. The transcript has 4 exons.